UUGUCUCUUAGAGUUCCUUUGAACGCUUCAUAUGUAAGGCUAUCUCUGGUCUAAAAUUCUUUAGAAAAGAUAGUCCCUUCUUUAAUGAAGUGUUUGGGGGAACUCUUGGGUUCAA
RNAcentral lists this microRNA precursor (115 nucleotides) under Trifolium pratense (red clover). RNAcentral's name for it is "pre miRNA mir-395". It matches the Rfam family "mir-395 microRNA precursor family". From Rfam's summary of the family: mir-395 was identified in both Arabidopsis thaliana and Oryza sativa computationally and was later experimentally verified. mir-395 is thought to target mRNAs coding for ATP sulphurylases. The mature sequence is excised from the 3' arm of the hairpin. Lineage: Eukaryota; Viridiplantae; Streptophyta; Magnoliopsida; Fabales; Fabaceae. The record is from RNAcentral.